GAGUUUGUCCUGGCUCAGGACGAACGCUGGCGGCGUGCUUAACACAUGCAAGUCACGGGGGCCCGCAAGGGCAACCGGCGAACGGGUGCGUAACACGUGAGCAAUCUGCCGAUUUCUGGGGGAUAGCCGGCCCAAACGGCCGGGUAAUACCGCAUACGCUUCUUGGGGGACAUCCCCUGGAGAACCUCCGGGGAAUCGAGGAGCUCGCGGCCUAUCAGCUAGUUGGUGUGGGUAAUGGCCCACCAAGGCGACGACGGGUAGCUGGGUCUGAGAGGAUGGCCAGCCACAUUGGGACUGAGACACGGCCCAGACUCCUACGGGAGGCAGCAGUGGGGAAUUUUUCGCAAUGGGGGAAACCCUGACGAAGCAACGCCGCGUGGAGGA
Molecule: ribosomal RNA, 384 nt
Filed under: uncultured Gemmatimonadota bacterium
Lineage: Bacteria; Pseudomonadati; Gemmatimonadota
Description: bacterial SSU rRNA
Rfam family: Bacterial small subunit ribosomal RNA
Source: RNAcentral